CAUUAACAGGAAGAGGAUUUUCAAGAGUUAAAACACAAGCAACGCAGUUCAGGAAGAAAACGAGCAAAAAAACACCAGAAGAAAUUACAUUCUGUGCUUCUGCGUCUAGAAAAACACCUGCAAAAGGAACGUAAAAGAGAAGGAAAAAUUCAAGAAAAGAUACCAAAGACUGCUGAAAAAAAAACUGUCUCCAAGAUCCAAGAUAAACCGUGAGUUCCGACCUUUGCCCAAAGUGGUCAGAAAACGUCUCCUUUUCCACACUGCCUUUACUAAAGACCUCAGUGACCGGUAUCGUAAAGCCAAUGGUGAGAAAGAGAAACAAUUAAUUGCAAAAAUAUGUGCAGGGGGAAAGAUAGUACGGAAGUACAGGCUCCAGAAGUAUGCAGAAACACUUUUGGGCUUCUCAAGAAGAAGGUGGAAACACUCUGACAAAGACCCACUCACAUUCAAACGAAAAAGAAACACCCGGACAGCUGAUGAAAUCAAGAAUUGUGUGAAGUUGUUCUUUGAACGGGAUGACGUGAGCCGUUUGACGACUGGUAGGAAGCAGACAAAGACAAAGAACAAACUUAAAAAGCAGAAACGAUUCCUAAUGGACACAAUGGUAAAUGCACACAGGAAGUUCUUGUCUGAAUAUCCGGAAAGAAGGGUUUCUUACUCUUUAUUUUGUCACUUGCGUCCGUUUUGGGUGGUGACCCCAACCCUGUCUGAGAGAGAAACCUGUUUGUGCAAGAUGCAUGAACACCUUGGCUUCAUCACAAACAAGCUCUACCACCUGAAGCUACUAACAUACUGUAACACAGAGGAGUUGGUAGAACAUGUUGUAUGUGACCCCCGCAAAAAGGACUGUAUGUACGGCCAAUGUGAUGAGUGCAAGCUGAACAACUUCCCCAUUAUUACACCGUAUGAACCCACAACCCUGGUCUCAUACUCACAGUGGGUAACGGAGGAAAAAAAGUGUUCAGAAACUGUGUCAUAUAAAAUGACGAUUAAAAAAGAGAUGGAGGGGACACUGGAAAGCCUCCUUGACCUUUUCAAUGAACAGCUGUCAAAAUUCAAGAGGCACGUCUUUAACAUCAGACAACAGUUUGCCUUUAGCCGAGCACUGAAAAAGGAGCUGUCCCCUGAUGAGUGCAUAAUUCAUGUGGAUUUUUCCGAGAAUUAUGGGUGCAAAUACAGUUCCGAGAUUCAAGCUGUCCACUUCGGCGCAUCCCACCAACAAGCCACUCUUCAUACAGGUGUGCUUUAUCUAGGUCCAAUUGCAAAACCAAUCUGUUUCAGCACUGUGUCCCCGUCCCGACAGAAAGGACCUGCUGCAAUCUGGGAACAUCUCAGGCCUGUUACGAAUUACAUCAAGCAAGAGCACCCCACGGUGAAGGUGCUUCACUUCCUUAGUGAUGGGCCCUGCUCACAGUACUGCCAACGUGGUAAUUUCUACCUCUUCUGCACGGAAUAGUACCAAAGAGGCUUUGGAAAGGGCACUUGGAAUUUCUUUGAGGCCAAUCACGGUAAGGGCGCCCCUGAUGGAGUUGGAGGUGUAUUAAAGAGACUUGCAGAUGACCUUGUCAGCAAAGGCAGUGAUAUUCCAGAUGCAAGGUCUUUGUUUUCAGCAUUGGCCAGAACCGAAACCUCCAUCAAGCUGUUUUUUGUGGAAGAGGAGGAUAUAGAGAAGGCAAUUCAGGCCAUGCCACCGAACAUCCCACCAGUCCCUUCAACAAUGCGCCUGCAUCAGGUCGUGACACAAGAUAGCGGUACCCUGAUCUGCCGUGAUGUCAGUUGCUUGUGUGCAGCUACCACAAAGAGGCUUGAGUGCCAGUGCCCUGGCUCCUGGGCCUUCACCUUUCUGCCCGACCAAACACCGAGCCUACCCGCAGUUGAUUGGACCAGGACAGACACCAUUGGAAUGUGGUGUAUGGUCAGAUAUGAUGGUGACAUUUACCCUGGGAUAGUCACUGCAACAGAUGACACGGCAAUCCAGGUCAAAUGUAUGCACUGUGGAGGGCCAAAUAAAUUCUACUGGCCCAGUCAUGAGGAUGUUAUCUGGUACCUCCAUGACGAUGUACUUUGCUUCAUCCCAGCCCCACUACCAAUCACUGGUCGCCAUGUUGCGAUCCAGAGCGAUACAUGGUUGGAUCUUACAAAGAAGUAAAAUUAUAUAUUUCUCCAUUUAAUGUGAUAUGCACAUUCAAGGGAUGGAUUCAUUUGUGCAGUUAUUUUCCUAUGGCACUACCUCCUUUUAAUUUCUAAUAUGUUUGUACAGCUGUUUGUCGCUGUUACACAAAGGUUAUACACUUGCCAAAAGUUCUCAGAUGUGUAUGCAUUUACUUUUAUCCUUGCCUAAGGGUAAGGUAUGUUUCCAGUUUUAAUGUGAAGAUGAUACACUUUCAUAUGUCAUGAUUUGUAUGGCUGUUCUCUAUCUUCAAUGAGUUAUGUAAUGUGUGAUAAGUGUUAACGUUUUUUUACCUUCUACCUAAUCUAUCUCAAUAUGAAAUUUUACCAUCUACCUAAUCUAUCUAAAUGUGAAUUUUGAUACCUACUUCAGAGAGACUUGUGAUGUAAGAUAGGUCUUCAUGGUCUGGUUUUAAUGUUGCCAGUUGAUUUCUCUGACCAGUGUACUGAGGAUCAGUUUAAAUUAAAGUAACAUUCUUCUAAA
This is a long non-coding RNA of Eleginops maclovinus (Patagonian blennie), 2653 nucleotides long. RefSeq lists it as uncharacterized. NCBI's taxonomy places the organism in Eukaryota, Metazoa, Chordata, Actinopteri, Perciformes, Eleginopidae. The record is from RefSeq and is a predicted model, not a curated record. The transcript has 2 exons.